Molecule: long non-coding RNA, 511 nt
Filed under: Helianthus annuus (common sunflower)
Lineage: Eukaryota; Viridiplantae; Streptophyta; Magnoliopsida; Asterales; Asteraceae
Description: hypothetical non coding rna
Source: RNAcentral
UUUCACACACAUUAGACUGUGAGAGAGAGAGUGAGAUUAGAGAUCGAGGGAGGAUCCGGCCAUCCAAAUCGGCAGAUCUCCGGACAACCUUCAAGUUCGGCACGACGGCGAUGCAUGUCCGCCCAACCUUCAAGUCGGCGGACGGCGAUGCAAGGCCGACCAACCUUUAAGUCCGGCAUGAGGGAGACGCACGGCGGACCGUCCAUAACUUGCAAAUCCUUGUUCAGUAACCAUUAAUACCAAACCUACCCGCAAUGGAUCACGGGACUCUCCAUUGGUUCCGUUGCGUAGCGCCACCCGUUCAGAUCCACCAUUUACAUCGGAGAUACCACAUUUUUUAUGCUUUUAUUGAAAGAAUCUGAAAUGGGUUAUAUUUUUGUUUGUUUAUUUAAUAACUGAUAGGUUUUUUUUUCAAAUCAUAUUUUUUUCUAAUCAAAUAAUCAUCAGGUUGCAUUUUUAGUCUGUUGAAGAAAUUGUAUUAAUGUUGCGGUUGGAAAAGAAAACAAUAUGA